GCGGCGGUCAGCUACCAUGCAGUCGACGGUAGCACAGAGGAGCUUGCUCCUUGGGUGACGAGUGGCGGACGGGUGAGUAAUGUCUGGGAAACUGCCCGAUGGAGGGGGAUAACUACUGGAAACGGUAGCUAAUACCGCAUAACGUCGCAAGACCAAAGAGGGGGACCUUCGGGCCUCUUGCCAUCGGAUGUGCCCAGAUGGGAUUAGCUAGUAGGUGGGGUAACGGCUCACCUAGGCGACGAUCCCUAGCUGGUCUGAGAGGAUGACCAGCCACACUGGAACUGAGACACGGUCCAGACUCCUACGGGAGGCAGCAGUGGGGAAUAUUGCACAAUGGGCGCAAGCCUGAUGCAGCCAUGCCGCGUGUAUGAAGAAGGCCUUCGGGUUGUAAAGUACUUUCAGCGAGGAGGAAGGUGUUGUGGUUAAUAACCGCAGCGAUUGACGUUACUCGCAGAAGAAGCACCGGCUAACUCCGUGCCAGCAGCCGCGGUAUACGGAGGGUGCAAGCGUUAAUCGGAAUUACUGGGCGUAAAGCGCACGCAGGCGGUCUGUCAAGUCGAUGUGAAAUCCCCGGGCUCAACCUGGGAACUGCAUCCGAAACUGGCAGGCUAGAGUCUUGUAGAGGGGGGUAGAAUUCCAGGUGUAGCGGUGAAAUGCGUAGAGAUCUGGAGGAAUACCGGUGGCGAAGGCGCCCCCUGGACAAAGACUGACGCUCAGGUGCGAAAGCGUGGGGAGCAAACAGGAUUAGAUACCCUGGUAUCCACGCCGUAAACGAUGUCGACUUGGAGGUUGUGCCCUUGAGGCGUGGCUUCCGGAGCUAACGCGUUAAUCGACCGCCUGGGGAGUACGGCCGCAAGGUUAAAACUCAAAUGAAUUGACGGGGGCCCGCACAAGCGGUGGAGCAUGUGGUUUAAUUCGAUGCAACGCGAAGAACCUUACCUACUCUUGACAUCCAGAGAACUUAGCAAAGAUGCUUUGGUGCCUUCGGGAACUCUGAAACAGGUGCUGCAUGGCUGUCCUCACCUCGUGUUGUGAAAUGUUGGGUUAAGUCCCGCAACGAGCGCAACCCUUUAUCCUUUGUUGCCACCGGUUCCGGCCGGGAACUCAAAGGAAACUGCCAGUGAUAAACUGGUAUAACCUUG
This 1142-nucleotide ribosomal RNA is filed under the name Citrobacter braakii. RNAcentral's name for it is "bacterial SSU rRNA". It matches the Rfam family "Bacterial small subunit ribosomal RNA", at positions 39 to 1176 of the family's 1533-position model. Lineage: Bacteria; Pseudomonadati; Pseudomonadota; Gammaproteobacteria; Enterobacterales; Enterobacteriaceae. The record is from RNAcentral.